UGGGGAAAAUUGCACAAUGGGCGCAAGCCUGAUGCAGCCAUGCCGCGUGUGUGAAGAAGGCCUUCGGGUUGUAAAGCACUUUCAGCGGGGAGGAAGGCGGUGAGGUUAAUAACCUCAUCGAUUGACGUUACCCGCAGAAGAAGCACCGGCUAACUCCGUGCCAGCAGCCGCGGUAAUACGGAGGGUGCAAGCGUUAAUCGGAAUUACUGGGCGUAAAGCGCACGCAGGCGGUCUGUCAAGUCGGAUGUGAAAUCCCCGGGCUCAACCUGGGAACUGCAUUCGAAACUGGCAGGCUAGAGUCUUGUAGAGGGGGGUAGAAUUCCAGGUGUAGCGAUGAAAUGCGUAGAGAUCUGGAGGAAUACCGGUGGCGAAGGCGGCCCCCUGGACAAAGACUGACGCUCAGGUGCGAAAGCGGGGGGAGCAAACAGG
Molecule: ribosomal RNA, 429 nt
Filed under: Chloroflexota bacterium
Lineage: Bacteria; Bacillati; Chloroflexota
Description: Chloroflexi bacterium partial 16S ribosomal RNA
Rfam family: Bacterial small subunit ribosomal RNA
Source: RNAcentral